RNAcentral lists this unclassified non-coding RNA (299 nucleotides) under fungal sp. RNAcentral describes it as "partial internal transcribed spacer region". The stretch from base 1 to 44 matches the Rfam family "Eukaryotic small subunit ribosomal RNA", at positions 1788 to 1831 of the family's 1831-position model. Lineage: Eukaryota; Fungi. The record is from RNAcentral.
GUCGUAACAAGGUUUCCGUAGGUGAACCUGCGGAAGGAUCAUUACCACACCUAAAAAACUGUCCACGUGAACCGUUGUAACCAUGUUUUGUGCUUCGCUGAUUUUGAAUGGUCUAUCCUUUUUGGAGGGACUAAACGGAAGAGGCUUGAGGCUAAACGAAGGUUGACUUGUACUUCUUCGGAGGCGCUCGUUAGCUGAUUUAUUUUUUUCAAACCCUUAAACAAUUACUGAUAUACUGUGAGAACGAAAGUUCUUGCUUUUAACUAGAUAACAACUUUCAGCAGUGGAUGUCUAGGCUC